UUUCAGGCCUCUUGCUGCUUUGCAAACUGACUCUGAGCGGCUGGGUGGGGGUGGGGUGCAGAUGGGGGGGACUCUUGGGCCAUUUUUGGCAUUUGAAUAUUCCCUGAUGUUGGGAAACCAUAUGUAUAAUUAAAAAGAAAACAGGGGUGCCUGGGUAGCUCAGUCAGUUGGGCUUUCGACUCUUGGUUUCGGCUCAGGUCAUGAUCUCAGGGUCGUGGGAUCGAGCCCCACGUUGGGCUCCAAGCUAGGUGGGGAGUCUGCUUAGGGUUCUCUCUCUCUCUCUCCCCCCCUCUGCCCCUCCCCUGCUCAUGCUCUUUCUUUCAAAUAAAGCCUUUAAAAAAAAAAAAAGUUGGGUGGAAAAAUAGCUCCUACGCUGAGAGAUGCCUUUAAAAAAAAUUCUUGGGGCGCCUGGGUGGUUCCGGUUGGUUUAGCAUCUGCUUUCAGCUUGGGUUGUGAUCCUGGAGUCCCGGGAUCAAGCACCCACAUCGGGCUCCCUGCUCAAAGGGGAGUCUGCUUCCCUCCGCCUCUGUCCCUCUCCCUGCUUGUGCUGUCUGUCUCAAAAAAAAUGCUUUCCCUCUUCCUUUGCCCCUCCCCCCACCUUUCUCUCUCUCCCUCUCUUAAAACAAUAGGCCCCAAAUGACAUCACUUAGGCCAAGUCCCCAAAAGGGGGCUUAAUACCUAAUCUGCAUUGUCGACCUCCCCCUAAAAUGUACUUUUAUUUUUUAAGCUUUAUUUAUUUUAGAGAGAGCAUGAGCUGGAUGGACAGAGGGAGAGUGAAUCUCAGGCAGACUCCGUGCUCAGCUCGGAGCCCAAUGCAGGGCUCAAUCUCAUGACCCCAACCAAGAUUAUGACCUGAGCUAAAACCAAGAAUUUAAUGUUUAACUGACUGCACCACCCAUGCACCCCCCAAAAUGUAGUCUUUUUUUUUUAACUUUUUUUUUAAAGAUUUUAUUUAUUCAAUUGAGAGAGAGAAUACAAGCAGGGGAAGCGGCGGGCAGAGGGAGAGGGAGAAGCAGGCUUCCCGCUGAGCAGGGAGCGCAAUGUGGGGCUCCAUCCCAGGACGCUGGGAUCAUGACCUGAGCCAAAGGCAGACGCUUAACGACUGAGCCACCCAGGUGCCCCCCAAAAUGUAGUCUUAACUGGUCAGUGGAGUUUUCCGAUGGGCACCAAUGAGUCUGCCACAUGGGCCUCUCCAUCUCCCAAAGGAAGCUGUAAUGUGCAUGGUGAGACUCCCUGUUCUCCCCACUAAGGGAAAGUGAUCUUGUCAGGAACAGUCCUUUUACUAUUCACUUUCUUUUUUUUUAAGAUUAUUUAUUUAUUUAUUUAUUUAUUUAUUUAUUUAUUUAUUUAUUUAUUUAUCAGAGACAGUGAGAUUAGGAACACAAGCAGGGGGAGUGGGAGAGGGAGAAGCAGGCUUCCGGCUGAGCAGGGAGCCCGAUGCGGGGCUCGAUCCCAGGACCCUGGGAUCAUGACCUGAGCUGAAGGCAGACACUUAACGACUGAGCCACCGAGGGGCCCCUACUAUUCACUUUCUUGCCCCCAUCCUCCUUCCACUGUACAACUGCUGAGAGCCCCCCCACUCCACUUGCUAGAUGGGUUACUGCCCGAUUCACGAAUCAUCCGAUAAGGCCAAUUAGAUCUUCACAUGUACUCAGUUGAAUUUUUUAACCAUUAUCUUUUAAAUUUAUGGAUAAUCCCAAAUGCAGAACAUUGGGACUGAUACCAAGACUUAGAUGUUAAGUUUACUUAGGGCUUGAUGCAAAAGGAGGGUGGUGUGUGAGGUGACCGCCGAUUGGCUGUGAUCGGUACGUGCGUGCAUCUGGAGAUAGAGAGGCUUCUGGUUCGGAGCACCCUGGCCAAGCAAGACCCAUCCUCAACCAUGACCGGGACUGAGGCCAUGCAGCUUCCCAGCCCUGUCUUUGCCGGUCCCAGACCCAGCUCUUGCCUCUGCCCACACCUUGCAAAGACCCCCUAGCAAACCCCCGACAGGCUGCCUGUCCUCAUUUUCUUCACAGGAAACCAGCUACUCCAAAAGCCCCUCCACAACCCUCCCAAGUGGUGGCUUUCAUUCUCAAACCUCACACACCUCUCAGGGAUUUGGGGUUUGGGUCCUCCCUGUACCACUUCCAGAUUAUUCUCCACCCCUUUUGAAGAAAAGCUUGCCCCAUUUUAGGCUCACGCCAUCCUACUAAACUGCCUUCACCCCCUACUUGGUAUUCUGCUGGCUUCUCAAUCAUCCCCUGUGAAAGAGACGGCCAGUCGUUCCCCAAUAUCUGCUUCCUCCUCUACAAAUAUAACGCUCAAGUAUUUUAGCAGGGGUUGUGGUGUGCUCAAAGAUGACGUCUCCCAGCUGCCCUUAACAGGUGGGAUUAUAUUCUGACCAACAGGAGAGAAAACAAUGAAUACAACUUCCAAGUGUUCUUAAAGGAAGGGUGCAUGCUUCUCUUCAGCUUUUCUUGCUUCCUGCUGUCUGGGUUGAAGACGUGAUGGCUGGAACUCCAGCACCCAUAUUGGAUCAUGAGCCAACAGCUCAACACUGCAAGCUCCGAACACCCUUUCCGGCCAAGGUCACUGCUGUGAUGGAUUCUCGGCAUCGCAAUCUUACAUUGAGCUAUGUGUUCCUCUGAUCAACAAUCUGUCUCCUCAGUUGAGUGUAAGCUCCAUGGGAGUGGGAACUCCAUCUCCGUCCUCCCCUGUGUCCUCCCACCUGGCACGGCACCUGUCACCCACUAGGAACACAUGAAUAAAUACAAAUGUUGACAUUGGUAAAGAUA
Molecule: long non-coding RNA, 2774 nt
Organism: Mirounga angustirostris (Northern elephant seal)
Lineage: Eukaryota; Metazoa; Chordata; Mammalia; Carnivora; Phocidae
Exons: 2
Source: RefSeq, a predicted model, not a curated record